GCGGCAAAAGCUCAAAUUUGAAAUCUGGUACCUUCGGUGCCCGAGUUGUAAUUUGUAGAGGGCGACUUUGGGGCGGCUCCUUGUCUAUGUUCCUUGGAACAGGACGUCAUAGAGGGUGAGAAUCCCGUGUGGCGAGGAGUGCGGUUCCGUGUAAAGCGCUCUCGAAGAGUCGAGUUGUUUGGGAAUGCAGCUCUAAGUGGGUGGUAAAUUCCAUCUAAAGCUAAAUAUUGGCGAGAGACCGAUAGCGAACAAGUACAGUGAUGGAAAGAUGAAAAGAACUUUGAAAAGAGAGUGAAAAAGUACGUGAAAUUGUUGAAAGGGAAGGGCAUUUGAUCAGACAUGGUGUUUUGCGCCCCUCGCUCCUUGUGGGUGGGGGACCCUCGCAGCUCACUGGGCCAGCAUCAGUUUUGGCGGUCGGAUAAAACCAGGGGAACGUAGCUUGCUUCGGGAAGUGUUAUAGCCCUUGGGAAUACGGCCAGCCGGGACUGAGGAACGCGAUUCGUCAAGGA
This 509-nucleotide ribosomal RNA is filed under the name Maudiozyma bulderi. RNAcentral's name for it is "Kazachstania bulderi partial large subunit ribosomal RNA". It matches the Rfam family "Eukaryotic large subunit ribosomal RNA", at positions 98 to 623 of the family's 3401-position model. Lineage: Eukaryota; Fungi; Ascomycota; Saccharomycetes; Saccharomycetales; Saccharomycetaceae. The record is from RNAcentral.